GGCCGCUCUGCAGGUCACUGUUAAAGGGGUGGGGUACUGUAGAUGUCACUGUUAUAGUGGAUACUGUCGAUAUUUUUUAACGACACACACAAACAUUAAAUGAAAUAGAUAAAAUAUACCAGUGCAAAGCCGAGUCCUUUUUGCUAGUAUAUGUAAAAAAA
This is a long non-coding RNA of Bufo bufo (common toad), 161 nucleotides long. RefSeq lists it as uncharacterized. The transcript is spliced from 3 exons. The record is from RefSeq and is a predicted model, not a curated record. Lineage: Eukaryota; Metazoa; Chordata; Amphibia; Anura; Bufonidae.